UUCUGGAACAUUGCGGGUAUCAUACGGGUUUACACACUCUGAAGCUAAGUCAGAUGAAUUGCAAAUUAUGUACAUAGGAACGACAUUAAGAAGAGCAUGACCAGCAGCAUGCAAACCUCCUCGGAAUGAAUAAUUUAGGGUCUCUACAGCUGUCUUUAUGGUCUGCUUCAGCAUAAAUUUCAGGAGACAAUGAGAGAACAAUUCUAAUGUAUGUUAACUCAGACAGAGAACAUGUUGAGCCAGAUCUAAAAGCUCAUGUGCUUGAAACUUACAUAGGAACGACAUUAAGAAGAGCAUGACCAGCAGCAUGCAAACCUCCUCGGAAUGAAUAAUUUAAGGUCUCUACAGCUGUCUUUAUGGUCUGAGGGACUUGAAUCCAGAAAGCCUGCAUGUGCAUUACAGCUACAAAUUACAAAGAAGAAAGAGUACUAAAACAGUGA
RNAcentral lists this long non-coding RNA (440 nucleotides) under Nicotiana benthamiana. RNAcentral describes it as "long non-coding RNA (NBEN_LNC013655)". Lineage: Eukaryota; Viridiplantae; Streptophyta; Magnoliopsida; Solanales; Solanaceae. The record is from RNAcentral.